AGGCUCGUAGCUCAGUGGGAGAGCGCUUCCUUGACACGGAAGAGGUCGGCGGUUCAAUCCCGCCCGGGCCUACCA
RNAcentral lists this transfer RNA (75 nucleotides) under Nitrospirota bacterium. Its description in RNAcentral is "tRNA-Val". It matches the Rfam family "tRNA". Rfam says of the family: Transfer RNA (tRNA) molecules are approximately 80 nucleotides in length. Their secondary structure includes four short double-helical elements and three loops (D, anti-codon, and T loops). Lineage: Bacteria; Pseudomonadati; Nitrospirota. The record is from RNAcentral.